AGCGAGCCUAAAACAAGUGCAGGCAGCUCGCAGGCUGUUAACUAGUGCGGAAAGCCGAAGAUGCUCCUUCCCGGAUGUCUCCAGCCCGACUGGGAGAUGCUCCCCGAGCUCCGGGGAUGCGACUGCAGGAUUUAGGCAUCUCUCCUCCUUCCCAGCUCUCCAUUUUGGACAGAAAACACCACCCCGAAAACCCAGCCUGUGCUGUCGGUGUGAUUUGCAAGGGAAAGGACCUUCAGGGAGAAGCACUGGAAGUGUGUGAGUCACACGUGGAUCCGGAGCCCCGCGGCAGGGCAGGAAGAGGGAGCUGUGAGCCGAGACCCCCAGCUCCAGCCUGGGCUGAGUCUGGAAGCGGCUGUGCCUCGGCAGGGCUGGGGGGACUGUGCCCAGCAGCUCCUGAGCCGUCCGGAUCAGCCCCCCGAGGCUCGAAAGACUCCAAACCAGCAGUCUCUGGAUGUUCUGUUUGCAGCCUUGACGGAUGUGUUUGGGGAAGGCGCUCCCAGAUGUGCAUUCAGCCGGGAGGCUGGGAAGGAGGAGGGGGUGGAGGGAGGAAAACUGGGUUUUCUACCCAAGAGAUGCUGCAGAUCCUGUGCUGAUGCCUUGCUUGGUACAGGAGAGCAUCUGUGGUGUGACUGCAGGAGUGAGAAUGAGGGGGAUCCAUCCAGGGUGUGAGGUGCUGGGUCUGAGCAGGGCCAGAGUAACUCCCUUCCAUAUCAGCUCCAUGAACAGCAGGAAUUUGGCUUGCUUUUUUCCAGAUCCAGAAUUAUACCCCAGGAUUUCUAUCUCUGUACAGCGUCCAGCCCUACAGCAGGUGCUUGACUGAUGGACCCCCAAGACUCUUCUCCCCAGGCUAUGAGCCACCCUGACCUCCCCCUGACAAUUUUCACCCAAGAGAUAAGAUCAUUUCAGCUUUGCUGUCUCCACAUUUGGCCUUAGCAAGCCCAGCCUUGGCAUCCCCCAGCAAGGAUGUUCAUAUGGGAAUGUCUCUCAGUCUGAGCUACCCAUACCAUCCCUGAUGCUUUCUCCAUUUUACACUAUGGAGUCUGAGGCAAAGAGAAGACAAAGGACUUGGGAGCCCUGAGCUGGAUUUCCCAGGAGGACUUUUCAGCAUACCAGAUUGCUGCCCUGAAGCUGAACCCUCCUUCCAUAGCCAGAAGGCUCCAGCACUGUGUUGUCAUGGAUGGCUGAGGUACAGAGGGAGCAGGAGCUGCCUCCAGAGUCUGGUUUCCUCUUGUACAAAUCCACAUCAGCCCUGAAAUGCAAAAUAUGAUCCCUCCUCCUGCAUCUGUGCCUGUGAGUAAAGCCAGGCUCUCAAUACCUUGUGGCUAAACAGACCUGUGUUCCUUCUGCAUUACUCAGAAAUUCAGACAAGGAGAGAUGCACAAACCUCCUGCACUUUGUGGUGCCUUUUCCAGGAGAGUGGAAAAGGCAGAGCUGAGCACACCCAAACAAGCUAUGGCCCAGAAUUAAAGCAGCUGAGGACCAGAGUGGCAAUAGCACCCAUGCUCCUGGCUCCAGACCUUGCUGCCUGUCUCCCCUUGUGCUCACCACCCCUGCAUAGUCAGGGACAAGACCCUUCCCCUCUAAAAAAUUCCUGGCUAGAAUGAGUUCCCUUUCAUACCCAUUCCCAGCCCAUCUGCAAAUCCCUCUCCCUUCCCCACACCUGCACUGCCUGGGCUGGUGUGUUAAUGCUUUCAUUUCUUCUCCAUUAAUGUUUUCAUUUUUCCCCCCCCCCCAUGUGUACAGCCUUUGCAAUCCCAUUUGCUGUAAUUCACACCAUAAACCAUCUGCUGCCUUUUAUUGUUGAACUGUGCAGGAAGCUUCAGCUGUAGCCUGGAGGGAACAGCCCCAUGCCCAGCAGAGCUGCCUGGCACCAGCUCCACACCAGCUCCACACUGGCUCUGCUCCACUGCCCCUGUGGAUGGGCACAAACCAGGGAGACAAAUCAUGGAAUCAU
Long non-coding RNA from Cyanistes caeruleus (blue tit), 1954 nucleotides. RefSeq lists it as uncharacterized. The record is from RefSeq and is a predicted model, not a curated record. Lineage: Eukaryota; Metazoa; Chordata; Aves; Passeriformes; Paridae.